UAAAACCAGCUCUUCGAGUGGUCAGGACGAAUAUUGGGUCUAAAGCGCUCGUAGCCGGACAAGUAGGUUCUUGGUUAAACCCGACAGCAUAACUGUUGGCAUGCUGGGAAUACCGCUAGUCUUGGGAGCGGGAGAGGACAGAGGUAGUCAUAGGGCAGGGGUGAAAUCCAGUGAUCCUAUGGCGACCACCGAUGGCGAAGGCAUCUGUCUGGAACGUAUCCGACGGUGAGGGGCGAAAGCUAGGGGAGCGACCCGGAUUAGAUACCCGGUUAGUCCUAGCCGUAAACGAUGCGGACUAGGUGUUACAGCGGCCAAGAGCCACUGUAGUGCCACAGUGAAGACGUUAAGUCCGCCACCUGGGGAGUACGGAUGCAAGUCUG
This 380-nucleotide ribosomal RNA is filed under the name uncultured archaeon. Its description in RNAcentral is "bacterial SSU rRNA". It matches the Rfam family "Archaeal small subunit ribosomal RNA", at positions 471 to 851 of the family's 1478-position model. The record is from RNAcentral.